GCACGUGCAGACCGCCGCCUCCAGCGCCGCCGCCGCCGCCGUCAACGCGCAGAUCGCCAACGCCAACCGAUACUGAGCCGCCGCCCGCUGAGCGGUAUCAAGACAAACGCGCGUUUAAUAUACAACGGCUUCUGAAUGGAGAAAAUAACUAUUUCAUUAAUCAAUACAAUGAAAGCGCUUUUUAGUAUAUUAUACGUAUUUUCUCGUAAUUACCGUAUUUAUUGACACGCCUUAUCAUGAAGAGAUUUUAAAUUAUUUAAUGCUAUAAAGUCUAUAAAUAUUAAUCAAUUAAUGUGCUUGUUUUAUAUUAUACUGUUGCAAUUUACUUGUAAAUUUUUGGUUAUUAUUUUUCCGUUAAACAUGCUACAGCAUUUUCAAGAUUCCAAAUGUCAAUGUCAGUUCAUUUCGAUAAUACUUACCUAAAUAGCAUUUCAUUUUUUUAAAUAAAUUGUGUUAUUUUUACAGUAA
This is a long non-coding RNA of Melitaea cinxia (Glanville fritillary), 468 nucleotides long. RefSeq lists it as uncharacterized. The transcript has 2 exons. The record is from RefSeq and is a predicted model, not a curated record. Lineage: Eukaryota; Metazoa; Arthropoda; Insecta; Lepidoptera; Nymphalidae.